Molecule: non-coding RNA, 249 nt
Organism: Vicia faba (fava bean)
Lineage: Eukaryota; Viridiplantae; Streptophyta; Magnoliopsida; Fabales; Fabaceae
Source: the annotation of a GenBank genome assembly
AUGAACUUCAUAUGUGGUACACACAUUCAAUCCGAAAUGCCUGAGCUACAUAUGUUUGAAUUGAUUGGAACAAGUCCUCUCCCACUUGUGAUGGAUGACAAUGAUAGAACAACGGUUUUGUUUUUCUCUCACUGUGGGAACAAGACUCCCAUUGUUCAUAGACAUGUUCGCUACCUUUGGAUUCCACCAACAGUGGUGGGGUAUUGCUUGCCUCUGAAAAUGAUUAUUGUGGCAGAUGAUUACUCGUGA